This 263-nucleotide unclassified non-coding RNA is filed under the name uncultured Eurotiomycetes. RNAcentral describes it as "sequence contains 5.8S rRNA gene, ITS2, 28S rRNA gene". The stretch from base 1 to 52 matches the Rfam family "5.8S ribosomal RNA", at positions 103 to 154 of the family's 154-position model. The record is from RNAcentral. Lineage: Eukaryota; Fungi; Ascomycota; Eurotiomycetes.
AACGCAUAUUGCGCCCUCUGGUAUUCCGGGGGGCAUGCCUGUCCGAGCGUCAUUACUAUAUUCAAGCACGGCUUGUGUGUUGAGCAUUUUGUUCCUAUUUUUUUGUGAACAAAGGCUUGAAAUGCAGUGGCGAUGCCUAAAUUGGUUGCCUGAACGUAUGGGGUUCUAUCACACGUUCUCUGGCUCCAAUUGUGCAUCUUGUCCCAACCUUUUUUCCAAGGAAAAUUGACCUCGGAUCAGGUAGGAAUACCCGCUGAACUUAA